This 761-nucleotide ribosomal RNA is filed under the name Prevotella melaninogenica. Its description in RNAcentral is "bacterial SSU rRNA". It matches the Rfam family "Bacterial small subunit ribosomal RNA", at positions 28 to 776 of the family's 1533-position model. The record is from RNAcentral. Lineage: Bacteria; Pseudomonadati; Bacteroidota; Bacteroidia; Bacteroidales; Prevotellaceae.
GAUGAACGCUAGCUACAGGCUUAACACAUGCAAGUCGAGGGGAAACGGCAUUGAGUGCUUGCACUCUUUGGACGUCGACCGGCGCACGGGUGAGUAACGCGUAUCCAACCUUCCCAUUACUGUGGGAUAACCUGCCGAAAGGCAGACUAAUACCGCAUAGUCUUCGUUGACGGCAUCAGAUAUGAAGUAAAGAUUUAUCGGUAAUGGAUGGGGAUGCGUCUGAUUAGCUUGUUGGCGGGGUAACGGCCCACCAAGGCGACGAUCAGUAGGGGUUCUGAGAGGAAGGUCCCCCACAUUGGAACUGAGACACGGUCCAAACUCCUACGGGAGGCAGCAGUGAGGAAUAUUGGUCAAUGGACGGAAGUCUGAACCAGCCAAGUAGCGUGCAGGAUGACGGCCCUAUGGGUUGUAAACUGCUUUUGUAUGGGGAUAAAGUUAGGGACGUGUCCCUAUUUGCAGGUACCAUACGAAUAAGGACCGGCUAAUUCCGUGCCAGCAGCCGCGGUAAUACGGAAGGUCCAGGCGUUAUCCGGAUUUAUUGGGUUUAAAGGGAGCGUAGGCUGGAGAUUAAGUGUGUUGUGAAAUGUAGACGCUCAACGUCUGAAUUGCAGCGCAUACUGGUUUCCUUGAGUACGCACAACGUUGGCGGAAUUCGUCGUGUAGCGGUGAAAUGCUUAGAUAUGACGAAGAACUCCGAUUGCGAAGGCAGCUGACGGGAGCGCAACUGACGCUUAAGCUCGAAGGUGCGGGUAUCGAACAGG